GGAAAGGAAAAUUUAAAAAUAUGCAAUCUUGGGCAGGCCCAGCGGUCUGGGCAACACACCAGCAGCACCUAAAACUUUUAGAUGCUUAAAAACAAAAGGUCAAGCGAUGCAUAAGUUUUUUGAGGAGAGGGUUGGAGUCAGUAUAGAGAGCAAUGCCUCGUCUUCCAAAUACUACGUCGUUUCGUGUUCAAGGUAAGAACUUCUUCCCCUAAUUGCCCAUUACGGAAAUACGAUGUUCUACAGUACUUCAAGUCCCUGCAUACCGUGCCAUCAUACAUCCAUAUUGCACGCGAAUACCACCAAGAUGCAGCCACAUAUCACUAAAUAUAGUCUUCAAAGCAUCCACAAGCAUUAUUAGACUACAUCAACACAGAAGGUGACGUGAUCAAAGAUGGAGUAUACGAGUCGACACUCGGGCGUAAUCAGCAUUCAACCAACGUGUAAUGUGCACAUGGGGCCCAGUUGUUGGUUGUUUAUUAUUUAAUUUGUUGGUUGCUUAUUAAUUAAUCUAUUAGAGUCAGAGUCCAGUUGAGUUGUUAGUUUAAUUAUUUGGGUCCAAUAAUUGUACGUGGGCAUCAGGUUAAGACUUGUUCUUAAUCCGUUGAUUCACAGCCAAGUAUUUUGGCUUAAGAAUAGGUCUUCAGGUUGGGUUAUUAGCUGAAUAUCAGCGUCGUGGUUAUGCUAUUUUUAUGGGUUGAGUCCGUGUAAUUGGGACAGUUGUUAUUUCCAAUUGUAUUUAAGUCUUUCAAGUUAAUGAGAAAAGUAUCAAAACAGUUGCAAUCAGUGAGUAUUGGAGGUUGUGGAUUUCCUCGAAUUAAUCCAACUUUUCCUUUCUAAGCCUCAACCUGACACAACGACGACGUUUGGAAAUAGAUUCUAAGUUCAUCAAACUCUACUAGCGAAUUUCUUCGCAAAUGCAAGGAAUUACAGCCACGGGCAUUCUUCCUACAACUGGCAGCAUUGCAAUGUACAGAAAAUCAUUUAUGGCCUCCUAAACCAGAGACCAUUGAGACAAAUGUCAUUGAUAUUGGAAGGUGGGACUCGUUUGGGGAAGACUCUAUGGGCGAGAUCGAUUGCUUCCCACAAUUACUUUCAUGGAUGGACGGACCUCAGUAACUACUCAAAUGAUGCACGUUAUAAUGUUAUCGAUAACAUUGAGUUCAAACACUGCAAGAAUAAGAAGGAAUUAUUAGGCUCGAAACAAAACUGGACUGCCAACGUGAAGUACGGCAAGCCCAUUAAAAUUGAAGGGGGCAUACCAACCAUUGUUCUAUGUAAUCCAGAUGUUAUGGGCCACAGAAAUGAGCCCAUCAUUUUGUGAUUGGUUUGGUUGUAACACAAUUUAUGCACAUAUAUAUAUAUAUAAGAACCUGAUGACCUGAUGGCAUACAUUUCGAUUCUCCA
Molecule: long non-coding RNA, 1404 nt
Organism: Carya illinoinensis
Lineage: Eukaryota; Viridiplantae; Streptophyta; Magnoliopsida; Fagales; Juglandaceae
Exons: 2
Source: RefSeq, a predicted model, not a curated record